UACGAGGGGGGCGAGCGUUGUUCGGAAUUAUUGGGCGUAAAGGGUGCGUAGGCGGUUUGGUAAGUCUUAUGUGAAAUCUACAGGCUCAACUUGUAGUCUGCAUGAGAAACUGCCGGGCUUGAGUAUGGGAGAGGUGAGUGGAAUUCCUGGUGUAGCGGUGAAAUGCGUAGAUAUCAGGAGGAACACCUGUGGCGAAGGCGGCCAUCUGGACGGUAACUGACGCUGAGACGCGAAAGCGUGGGUAGCAAACAGG
Molecule: ribosomal RNA, 253 nt
Filed under: uncultured bacterium
Lineage: Bacteria
Description: partial 16S ribosomal RNA
Rfam family: Bacterial small subunit ribosomal RNA
Source: RNAcentral